GAUGAACGCUGGCGGCGUGCCUAAUACAUGCAAGUCGAGCGAACGGACGAGAAGCUUGCUUUUCUGAUGUUAGCGGCGGACGGGUGAGUAACACGUGGAUAACCUACCUAUAAGACUGGGAUAACUUCGGGAGACCGGAGCUAAUACCGGAUAAUAUUUUGAACCGCAUGGUUCAAAAGUGAAAGACGGUCUUGCUGUCACUUAUAGAUGGAUCCGCGCUGCAUUAGCUAGUUGGUAAGGUAACGGCUUACCAAGGCAACGAUGCAUAGCCGACCUGAGAGGGUGAUCGGCCACACUGGAACUGAGACACGGUCCAGACUCCUACGGGAGGCAGCAGUAGGGAAUCUUCCGCAAUGGGCGAAAGCCUGACGGAGCAACGCCGCGUGAGUGAUGAAGGUCUUCGGAUCGUAAAACUCUGAUAUUAGGGAAGAACAUAUGUGUAAGUAACUGUGCACAUCUUGACGGUACCUAAUCAGAAAGCCACGGCUAACUACGUG
Molecule: ribosomal RNA, 497 nt
Filed under: uncultured bacterium
Lineage: Bacteria
Description: partial 16S ribosomal RNA
Rfam family: Bacterial small subunit ribosomal RNA
Source: RNAcentral